This 77-nucleotide transfer RNA is filed under the name Acinetobacter sp. RNAcentral's name for it is "tRNA-Arg". It matches the Rfam family "tRNA". Rfam says of the family: Transfer RNA (tRNA) molecules are approximately 80 nucleotides in length. Their secondary structure includes four short double-helical elements and three loops (D, anti-codon, and T loops). The record is from RNAcentral. Lineage: Bacteria; Pseudomonadati; Pseudomonadota; Gammaproteobacteria; Moraxellales; Moraxellaceae.
GCGCCUGUAGCUCAGUAGGAUAGAGCAUUCGCCUUCUAAGCGGAUCGUCACAGGUUCGAAUCCUGUCAGGCGCACCA